UAAACAUGUGUAGAUGCACUCUUUGACUUUGGAAUUUUCAAAAUGGCUGCCGCUCGCCUGGCAAUGGGGGAAGGGUGCCAUCCGCUAUUGCUUGCAAUGGCAAAUCUAGUUAUUAUUAUUUUUUUUCUUGCAACAAAUUUUGUCCAGGUGAUUUCUCGAAAUCCAAUGGACCAAUGUUGAUGGAACUCUACUAUAGUAAGGACCCCCAGGUGCAGAGUUGCAGGAAGCAUGGAAUGGUUCAAGAUGGCUACCGUUUCCAUGGAAACAGAACAAAUGUGAAAAAAUCCAGUUUUUUGUUUUGGUGAACUGUUUGGAUAUGCUUUAACUCAGAAUCAUUAUAUUUUAAUACAAUGUAGGUGCCCACUAUAUACAGGUGUUGGAUGAUUUUGGCACUCAUUGGAACUACUAUGUUGCCAUGGAAACUACACCAAAAAUUUCAAAAAUAUCAAAAUGCUCCAAACUUCAUGAAACUUCACAGUAACGAUGAGCAACAUUGGAAGAUGUGGAAUUUGGCGUUGGAAUUUCCAAAAUAUCUGUUGUUACCAUGGAAACAAUGCAAAAAGGUCAAAACUUUGAAUUUUCACAGAACAUUCCAGAACAUCAAUGUUAAAUUUAUUCUAGAGACAUUAAAUGGUAUAUGAUGGUAUAUAUGAUUAUGGAGGGAAAAAAUUGCAGCGGGGGUUUGACUUUGGAAUAUUCAAAAUGGCCGCCGUUACCAUGGAAACAGCAAAAAUAUGAAAAACUUCAAAAUGCUUUAAAUUUAAUGAAACUUAUAACAAAUGUUGCCUAGCUUAUGUAGACUUAACUUUUGAGUUUCGAAUUUUCAAAAUGGCCGCCGUUACCAUGGAAACAGCAAAAAUACGAAAAACUUCAAAAUGCUUCAAAUUUAUUGAAACUUAUAACAAAUGUUGCUUAGCUAAUGUAGACUUGACUUUUGAGUUUGGAAUUUCCAAAAUGGCCGCCGUUACCAUGGAAAUUUCAAAAAUUUCAAAAUGCUCCAAAAUCGAUGAAACUUUACGACAAUGUGAAUAGACA
This 1035-nucleotide long non-coding RNA is filed under the name Mytilus galloprovincialis (Mediterranean mussel). The record is from RNAcentral. Lineage: Eukaryota; Metazoa; Mollusca; Bivalvia; Mytilida; Mytilidae.